This 252-nucleotide ribosomal RNA is filed under the name uncultured Tepidimicrobium sp. RNAcentral describes it as "partial 16S ribosomal RNA". It matches the Rfam family "Bacterial small subunit ribosomal RNA", at positions 524 to 776 of the family's 1533-position model. The record is from RNAcentral. Lineage: Bacteria; Bacillati; Bacillota; Tissierellia; Tissierellales; Tepidimicrobiaceae.
UACGUAGGGGGCGAGCGUUGUCCGGAAUGACUGGGCGUAAAGGGUACGUAGGCGGCUAGGUAAGUCAGAUGUGAAAGGCAUGGGCUCAACCCAUGUUAGCAUUUGAAACUGCUUAGCUUGAGUCAAGGAGAGGAAAGUGGAAUUCCUGGUGUAGCGGUGAAAUGCGUAGAUAUCAGGAGGAAUACCAGUGGCGAAGGCGACUUUCUGGACUUAGACUGACGCUGAGGUACGAAAGCGUGGGGAGCAAACAGG